GCUGGGUGUGGUGGUGCACACCUGUAAUCCUAGCUACUCGGGAGGCUGAGGCAGGAGAAUCGCUUGAACCUGGGAAGUGGAGACUGCAGUGAGCCUAGAUUGUGCCACUGCACUCCAGCCUGGGUGACAGAAUGAGACUCUGUCUCAA
RNAcentral lists this non-coding RNA (148 nucleotides) under Pan troglodytes (chimpanzee). Lineage: Eukaryota; Metazoa; Chordata; Mammalia; Primates; Hominidae. The record is from Rfam by way of RNAcentral.